This 2783-nucleotide long non-coding RNA is filed under the name Chinchilla lanigera (long-tailed chinchilla). RNAcentral describes it as "lncRNA (ENSCLAG00000023815.1)". Lineage: Eukaryota; Metazoa; Chordata; Mammalia; Rodentia; Chinchillidae. The record is from RNAcentral.
UCGCGGGCUGCCGCGGGGCGGGGCCCCCAAGGAGGGGACGAACCAAGAGUCCGAAAGGUGGGGUGGGCGGGGCCUGUCAAGGGCAUCCCAUUCCUCCUUAGGGUCUUAAAGACAAACUCGCGCUGACCUGGGACAGAGGGGGCUCAGCUGGCGUCAGCGUGGACACAGCAAGGCCGGAACGUCAGACCCCGAAAGCAGGGAAGAAGCUCCCGAAGGAGGCUCCGAGGGCGCCCGAGGACCCAGGCGCUGAGGGCUCCCCUCAUAUUCCCUGGCUCUGUCUUGCAGCUGACGUUUUUCCUUCCGAGUGCUCCCCGGUGUGUGUGAGUGGUGGGUGUAUAUUUGAUCGUGGGUGGCGGAUGAGUGUGUGUGUGUGUGAGUGUGUGCGGUUGGGAGUGUGCGUGCGGUUCGUGCUGGGGGUGGAGCGCGGCCCGCUGAGCAAGCCCCAGCCCCUCCUGAGGUCUCGAGCCGUUCUCCCCACCAGUCACCGUGGGGCCCAGGAGUGACGGGUCUGAUGGAUGAACGUUUGACACAAGACCGAAACUACCCCGCCCAAGCCACAGCCACGUCUUGGCACCAGCAAAGCUCCACGUGGCGACCCUGAGACAAUGGCCAGCGGUAAUGAUCAGCCGCUCCAGGGCUGGACCAAGACGAGCCGGGCCUCUGCUAAGCGUGGAAACCCCAGCCUUUGCCUUUGUUCCUCUGCCUGUAUUCAAAGCCCGUCUGGCCGUGCUGGAGAAGCCAAACUUCAGGAGAUCGGAGUUGGUGAAAGGAGCCGGGUGUGAAGACGACAGAGCGGACUUUCACCUCAAAGCUCCAUCUUUAGGCAGCUCAGGGAGCACAAAUGGUUUCUGUGGAGGAAAGAGAAGGUAUGUGCGGGAACUCCGUGUUUCGGGGGAAGGGUCUUCUGCAUCUAUGCGGGUGGUUCCUCUCCUGCUGAACCAGUUUCAUGGACUUUGACCUCCUCCAGCUGUUUAAUUAGAAUUUAAACCAGGCCUGGUGGUGCAGGCCUGUAAUCCCAGCACUCGGGAGGCUGAGGCAGGAGGAUCGCUGUGAGUUCCAGGGCAGCCUGGGCUACAGAGUGAGUUCAAGGCCAGCGUGAACUGCAAAGCGAAACCCAGUCUCAAAAAGGCAAAAUAAGGGGCUGGGGAUUUAGCCCAGUGGCACAGCGCCUGCCUGGCAAGUGCAAGGUCGUGAGUUCAAUUCCCGGUACCAGAAAAAAACAAAAAACAAAAACAAAAACAAAAGGCAAAAUAAUAAUAAUAAUAAUAAUUAGAACUUAAGAGAGGGUUCCAUUCAAAUGGCUGGGGGGCUGUCAAAAGACAGUUUCAAGAGUCUCUGUUACAACUCCUCACUUGUUUGGGACCUGGGACAACAGUCAAUCAAUCUGGCCACUUCCUGCUAAACUGGGAUGCACGUACGGGUUAGAGAAAUUACUGGCACUUACUUAGCCAUGAGAAGGGCACAGGCUCAGUCAUCAAACAACAGCUGAAGUCUAUAAGCAAAAGAGCCAGAACUUAAGCCCCACUAAAUCCUAACAAAGAACGUGAAUGGGAAAUUAUAAGUAAUUCAUGUAGAGGUCCUUUUUUUUAAUGGCUCCAUGGACAUGGGCUACUAAAAAAGCGUAUUGGGGAUCAGUGAAAGUAGUCAUUUUCUCACCUGUGUUGAAACAGAGGAUCCUGCCAGAGCUAUGGCUUGUGCUUCCCGUGCAUAGGUACCUGGGAGCAGGGCUUUUCCUCCUAGUGUCAGGCAGUUGUCCAUAAGAACGAUUCCGUCAUAACUUCCAGGCUCUACUUACUUUUUGAUAGGGCCAACACAGCUGUCUUCAUUUUUAUUCUGAAAACGUAACACCUUCCCCUGGAAAGACUUAUUUGUAACGUGUGUUAGUUACUGUUCUUGCUGCUGAGACAAAAUACCCAACACCCAAGUUUAAAUGAGGAAAGGUUUAUUUAGCUCACAGUCUGUAGAGGUUUCAGUGCAUGAACGGCUGGCUCCAAGGCAGGCUGGCAGGCAGAAGGCAGUAAAGCAGUGAAGUAGGGCCUGGGGAUAUAGCUCAGUGGCAUAAGCGCUUGCCUGGCAAGCCUGAGGUCAUGAGUUCAAUUCCUGGUACCAAAAAAAAAAAAAAAAAAAAAAGCAGUGAAGUAGCCAAGCAGAACCAUGGGACAGCACCAGCCCUCUUUCUGUCCCUUAUAUUCUAUCCUGGCUACAUACCCCUAGGGCAGGUAGCUCCCACACCCAGGGAGGGCCUUCCCAUGGUGCAUGUACGAGCUGUGCCAGGCCAAUCAGUGGAGUAACUUAGUAAUCACACACCCUUGACCCCAGCAUCACACGCUGUACAUCCAGCCACCUCUGAAAAGCCCCACCUGUGACCACAUGAAGCUUUGAGGGGACAUCUAGACACUGUCGUAACAGAAGGUCAUUGGAUCGCGCGUGGGUCCUAUACUCACACAGGAGCAGUCCACCGAGCAGUUCAUAGCUGACUUGCUGUGAGGAGGUGAGGUAUGUCAGACGUGGUCCCAGGGAGCAUAAUUUGGAAGGGUGUCUCUCCCGCCCUGACUCCUUCUUUCUCUCUCUGCUUCCAGCUGCCAUGGGUUGGGCGCCCUUUCUCUGCCAGGCCCCUCUGCUCUCUGCUUCUGCCUUGGAACCAGCCAACAAGGGACUGAAACCCCAAGCAAAAUAAACCUCUCUUACUGUAAAUUGUGGGUACCGGUAAUUGUGUCCCAGUGACUAAGAUAAAUAUCGAUCUCCAUGCAAGGCUUGAAAUUUGGUAACAAAAUGAAAACAAC